UCUGGGACAAGCCCUGGAAACGGGGUCUAAUACCGGAUAAUACUGUGCCCCUCAUGGGGGAUGGUUGAAAGCUCCGGCGGUGCAGGAUGAGCCCGCGGCCUAUCAGCUUGUUGGUGGGGUAAUGGCCUACCAAGGCGACGACGGGUAGCCGGCCUGAGAGGGCGACCGGCCACACUGGGACUGAGACACGGCCCAGACUCCUACGGGAGGCAGCAGUGGGGAAUAUUGCACAAUGGGCGAAAGCCUGAUGCAGCGACGCCGCGUGAGGGAUGACGGCCUUCGGGUUGUAAACCUCUUUCAGCAGGGAAGAAGCGAAAGUGACGGUACCUGCAGAAGAAGCGCCGGCUAACUACGUGCCAGCAGCCGCGGUAAUACGUAGGGCGCAAGCGUUGUCCGGAAUUAUUGGGCGUAAAGAGCUCGUAGGCGGUCUGUCACGUCGGGUGUGAAAGCCCGGGGCUUAACCCCGGGUCUGCAUUCGAUACGGGCAGACUAGAGUGUGGUAGGGGAGAUCGGAAUUCCUGGUGUAGCGGUGAAAUGCGCAGAUAUCAGGAGGAACACCGGUGGCGAAGGCGGAUCUCUGGGCCAUUACUGACGCUGAGGAGCGAAAGCGUGGGGAGCGAACAGGAUUAGAUACCCUGGUAGUCCACGCCGUAAACGUUGGGAACUAGGUGUUGGCGACAUUCCACGUCGUCGGUGCCGCAGCUAACGCAUUAAGUUCCCCGCCUGG
Molecule: ribosomal RNA, 727 nt
Filed under: Streptomyces sp.
Lineage: Bacteria; Bacillati; Actinomycetota; Actinomycetes; Kitasatosporales; Streptomycetaceae
Description: bacterial SSU rRNA
Rfam family: Bacterial small subunit ribosomal RNA
Source: RNAcentral